UACAGAGGUCUCAAGCGUUGUUCGGAUUCAUUGGGCGUAAAGGGUGCGUAGGCGGCGCGGUAAGUCGGGUGUGAAAUCUCGGAGCUUAACUCCGAAACUGCGUUCGAUACUGCCGUGCUUGAGGACUGGAGAGGAGACUGGAAUUUACGGUGUAGCGGUGAAAUGCGUAGAUAUCGUAAGGAAGACCAGUGGCGAAGGCGGGUCUCUGGACAGUUCCUGACGCUGAGGCACGAAGGUCAGGGGAGCAAACGGG
RNAcentral lists this ribosomal RNA (253 nucleotides) under uncultured bacterium. RNAcentral describes it as "partial 16S ribosomal RNA". It matches the Rfam family "Bacterial small subunit ribosomal RNA", at positions 524 to 776 of the family's 1533-position model. The record is from RNAcentral.